Molecule: non-coding RNA, 1504 nt
Organism: Ictalurus furcatus (blue catfish)
Lineage: Eukaryota; Metazoa; Chordata; Actinopteri; Siluriformes; Ictaluridae
Source: the annotation of a RefSeq genome assembly
UGAUAAUACGAAUGAAAACAGACAGAUAACCAGCUUGAAAUAUUUACAGAUACAAUGCUGAAGUGAGACUUCACAAAGUAUUAAUAAGAGUCCAGGUUAUUUAAAGGGAGUAGUGUGAGUGCAAACAGCUGAGGGUCAAUAGUAAUCAGGUGACUGUACAUGGGGACAGAAGCUUGACUAGGGGAUGCAGGCUGAGGAUCAUGGGAUGCUGAUGUGACAGUGAGUUUCAUUUGGAGAGGAUUUGUGCCAUUUGUAGAUCAUUUUUGUCAUCUGUAAAUCCAGUUAUAGAUGUUUUUACCUGUUUGCUACCUUUUUUCUCUGAAUAUAUUGCCCGUAGUAGCUUAGGUAAAAAGAACAAAUACUGUAGUUAUGGUCAACUCCUACUUAUUAAGCUUGCAAGUGUCUACAUUUACAUGAGUCAUUCACCACCAGGGUGCAGUGUGACACCAUAAAUACAUUCAGUGCUGAGGUCAGGCAGCUCCUAAACAGCUGGAAAUUCCAUGGAAAAUAAAGUUCAUGAUUCCAGCUGGAUCCAGGACUUUAUUGGACUAUUUUGGUGUAAUUUCACAAAGUUAGGAAUACUCUGUACCGGUGGGAUUGUCCUCCUGUGCUGAUGCUCCUGUCUCAGACUAAAUAAAGUGAAUAAAGUGUAAAUCCUUCUGCUUAUAAAGUUUCAGACAGUUUUUCUGUAGUAGUGUUGAAGACCUGGUCAGUGUUCCACAUUUAAAAGAAAGUGAUGAAUUAUGCUUAAUUUCAUGACUGUCAUCACUGUCUGUGUCAUACAGAGUUGAAGUGUCAAGAGUCAAGAAGGAGCUCAAACUGGAAUUUUGGUAAAAUGAAGAAAUCAAAGUACAAUAGACACUUAGCUUCACACAAACAGACUGAUUUAGUGUUUAACCAGAGAGCGAGAGAGAGAGUGAGAGUGAGAGAGAGAGAGAGAGAGAGCAGUGAGGUGUAACUGAGAUUUGCAUUAACAGGACUGAAGAGUUUCAUUUCUCCCAGAAUAGCAAUUGCCAGUCCAUGCUUCAGUGCUCUGCGAGUGUUUAUAGCCCUGUGACUUUAACACUUCAUGACUGAGAGCUGCUGCUCAGCAACUUCACCCACAGCAACCAUGACUUUGAUCAGCGUCUUCAUCUGCACACUGGCCCUCUGGACUCAAGGAUCCAGAGGUCAGGUGACUGUGACUCAGACUCCUUCAGUGCAAACUGCUGAUCCAGGAAAAACAGUCACCUUCAACUGUAGAACCAGUAGCAGUGUGUAUGUUGGUGAUACUCUUCACUGGUACCUGCAGAAACCUGGAGAAGCUCCUAAACUCCUGAUCCAUGAUGCUACUAGCUCAUACACAGGGACUCCAGCUCGUUUCAGUGGCAGUGGAUCUAAUACUGACUUCACUCUGACCAUCAGAGGAGUCCAGACUGAAGAUGCAGGAGAUUACUACUGUCAGAGUGUACAUGAGAUCGGUAGUAGCUAUGUGUUCACACAGUGUUAGAGCGCCGUACAAAAA